This is a non-coding RNA of Equus caballus (horse), 1431 nucleotides long. The record is from RefSeq and is a predicted model, not a curated record. Lineage: Eukaryota; Metazoa; Chordata; Mammalia; Perissodactyla; Equidae.
UCGGGGUGGGGGUGGGGGUUAAAAAUCUCGUCCUCCGUUUGGGUGCCCACUUCUUUGUCUGCGAAGCAAAGGGCUGGGAUUCAGUCCGGACAGCCCCUUAAAGACCCAGACAGGGGACGCCUCUGGUUUCAGCAGCUCACUCCGCUGAGUUAUUGAUUGCAGGCAGCAACAAUCCCUCCAGAUGAUUUGUGUGGAAAGUGAAUCCGCGCCGGCUAGGCGUUCAGCAGAGGCGCAACAGCCGCAACGCCAUCCAGUUAAUUGCCGGGCCUCCCCUGCAACACCGCUCUCACCACCUAUGUACUCCUUUUUCUGCCCGUGUCCACUUCCCCCCACCCACUUUUCUUCGGGCGGACGGUGCUGAGGGGGCGGGGGCUCCCUCCCGGGAGUGUUUCUAGAGCUCCGAGGCAGCUAGUAGGGGUUUGACAAUCCACAUGUUUAAAGUCUAACAGAAAGAAAAAAAUCACUGGAUGUGAAGUUGGGAGCCAGAGCUGAGUCUGCAUCUGUGUCCUCGUGUUGGUGACCUUGGGGCACCACUUUCAGAUAAAAACAUAGACCUGAAUGGCAUCAUCCAGUAUCCAAGGAAACCAUCGUGGUUCCUUGCUAAGCAUAAAAGGUAAAGACAUCUCUCUUUCAUUUUCUCUGCUGAGUUAGAACCUUCAUAGUCAAUGUCUAACCGCAGGCAAUUUUGUUUUCUCACAUGACAAGUCAACUUGUACUAUUUAUGCGUUUCCAUGUUUCUGUCUUUUUAUAUAUGUUACAAAAUGCAUCUUUCUGAAUUGAGAGAUGAGAAGUUUGUGUUAGACUAAGGAAUUUGCUGGAAUUUUAGAAGGGUGUAAGAGUAACGGCCUCUUCACCUGGUAGAAGGGCCUGGCUAGGAAGUGAUUUUUUUAAUGGUUGUUAACAGACUUCACAACUGUGGCGUUUGAGGCCUGAAGUACUGCCCUCUAAAAUAGGAAUUCCUUGCCACAAAAUAAAGGUUGGGCCAUUGCUGGGUAAACUUGUCAGCAGAGCAGAGUUAGGAUAGAUCUUUAUAAAGGAAGAAAAUGCAAAUCAAAGGGAAAGACUGGCUAAUGUUCUAAUUCCCUAUCUUGAGGAAAUAGAAUCUUUUGAAAUUUCAUUCUUCCUGUAGCGAGAGGAAAAAGAAAAUCUAUGCUACAAUGCUUCUGGCAGCAUUUUAACUAUUUACAUUAGAAUAUAGAUUUUCCAGAAAAGUCAUUUAAUUUUAAUUCAACCUCUUAGAGAAAUGAAAAAUGGCUUGAUAGAAAUAGAUUGAUAUAUGCAUAUCCAUUCGUCAGUAGUGGUCUCUCUAACAAAGACCAUCAUUAUUGAGUCGAACUUUCUGUGAUGAUGGUCAUGUUCUAUAUCUGCCCUGUCCAAUGUGGUAACUGGUAGACACAUGUGGCUACUGAGCACUUGAAAUAUGGCUACUGC